Molecule: ribosomal RNA, 882 nt
Filed under: uncultured bacterium
Lineage: Bacteria
Description: bacterial SSU rRNA
Rfam family: Bacterial small subunit ribosomal RNA
Source: RNAcentral
CCCUUAGAGUUUGAUCCUGGCUCAGGACGAACGCUGGCGGCGCGCCUAACACAUGCAAGUCGAACGAGCGAGAGAGAGCUUGCUUUCUUGAGCGAGUGGCGAACGGGUGAGUAACGCGUGAGGAACCUGCCUCAAAGAGGGGGACAACAGUUGGAAACGACUGCUAAUACCGCAUAAGCCCACGGCUCGGCAUCGAGCAGAGGGAAAAGGAGCAAUCCGCUUUGAGAUGGCCUCGCGUCCGAUUAGCUAGUUGGUGAGGUAAUGGCCCACCAAGGCGACGAUCGGUAGCCGGACUGAGAGGUUGAACGGCCACAUUGGGACUGAGACACGGCCCAGACUCCUACGGGAGGCAGCAGUGGGGAAUAUUGCACAAUGGGGGAAACCCUGAUGCAACGACGCCGCGUGGAGGAAGAAGGUCUUCGGAUUGUAAACUCCUGUUGUUGAGGAAGAUAAUGACGGUACUCAACAAGGAAGUGACGGCUAACUACGUGCCAGCAGCCGCGGUAAAACGUAGGUCACAAGCGUUGUCCGGAAUUACUGGGUGUAAAGGGAGCGCAGGCGGGAAGACAAGUUGGAAGUGAAAUCCAUGGGCUCAACCCAUGAACUGCUUUCAAAACUGUUUUUCUUGAGUAGUGCAGAGGUAGGCGGAAUUCCCGGUGUAGCGGUGGAAUGCGUAGAUAUCGGGAGGAACACCAGUGGCGAAGGCGGCCUACUGGGCACCAACUGACGCUGAGGCUCGAAAGUGUGGGUAGCAAACAGGAUUAGAUACCCUGGUAGUCCACACCGUAAACGAUGAUUACUAGGUGUUGGAGGAUUGACCCCUUCAGUGCCGCAGUUAACACAAUAAGUAAUCCACCUGGGGAGUACGACCGCAAGGUUGAA